This 1054-nucleotide long non-coding RNA is filed under the name Actinidia chinensis (golden kiwifruit). RNAcentral describes it as "long non-coding RNA (ACHI_LNC001502)". The record is from RNAcentral. Lineage: Eukaryota; Viridiplantae; Streptophyta; Magnoliopsida; Ericales; Actinidiaceae.
UUCUAUGGUGUUGCAAUGAAUUUCUAGCAGGAAGAUAAAUGGAGUGGAAGUAAGCCUUUGAGAAUAAUCUAGUAGCUAACGGCCGAGAUGCUGGAAGGAUAUCCCUACUUUCUAAGAUUAUCUUAAUGGAGGUAGAAAUCUCUAAACAAUUACAAAGCCUUGAAAUGGAGGAGGUACAUCUUUCUUUUGCAAAUGACUCUUUCCAAGCUACCACCACUUAAUUUCACAUAUUUCGUUUUCGUUACUGUUGUAGUUGAUAAAAAUGGGGUGAGGUUUGUUUUUCUAGAUUGAAGAAAGAAUGGAGAAAGUUUCUGGUGUAUGGGAUGAGGUAUAUUGUGACGCUUGAGAAGCUAGAAAACUCAGGUCUGAAGGAAAUGGAAGGGGUGGGGAGCUGGAAAGAACAGGCCAAACCAUGUUAUGCAUAUAUUAAAUAUAUAAUGGAGCUGGGAUCUGGCCCUUUCUACACCAUAGUCCUUUGUACCAUGGGUGAAGUCCUUUGAGUUCUCCUGACUCAAAAUCUUCAUGUUUUUUUCUUUCAUCUUCAUUCGUUACAUUGCAUUUUAAUCCUAUUAUAGAAGUAUAACUCGAUUCCAUUUCAUCUGUACUUUGUCUUCUUCACUAGAUUAUGUGACCUUUUUCAAGCCACUUUCAUAGCCAUAACAAAAGUUGAGUCAAAGUUGCUCUCCACUCAAAGGUCUCAAUUCCCAUAUCUAUCUAUACAAAGAAAUUCACAGGACAAAGGAGAACUUAUUUGUACAUAUGGUAUUUUGAACUAUGAACGAACAUGCAGAAAUUAAGGAUUCUUUUUAAUUUUGAGUUAUUUUGCAGGAUCAUUUAGGAUCUUUGCUCUCUUCCGGAGGUGACAAAAAUAUGGGAUCAUUUCUUAUGGACUUGUUGAGAAUGGUUCUCCUCUAGAGAACUUGGCACAAUUAAAGCUAGCUGUAAUAAUGCCCAUCAGCACAUCAAUCUUAUGUACUGAAGUUAGAUGGAUGAGAAGGCUUCAGAAGAUGAUAAGAAGGCAGUGAUGUAGGCCAUGCCCAGAUUGCAACCAAAG